Ailuropoda melanoleuca (giant panda) is the source of this 3479-nucleotide RNA transcript. It is a transcript of the gene named atonal bHLH transcription factor 8, with no coding region annotated. Lineage: Eukaryota; Metazoa; Chordata; Mammalia; Carnivora; Ursidae. The record is from RefSeq and is a predicted model, not a curated record. The transcript is spliced from 4 exons.
UGAGGAGGGGGCGGGGAGGGAGAGCCCAGGAGGCAGGUUCUGGACAGAAGGGAUGGGGGUGGGGGGAGGUGGAGAGGACGCGGACAAAGGAGGCGGCCGGCAGCCCAGCUGUUUUGAAAAAUGCUUCCUGUUUCUUUAAAGGCGCUCGCGGCUCGGGCGGCCGGGGCUGGGGAGGAGGCGGCGGCGGGAGCUGCCUCCUCUCCGGGCGGCGGCGCUGACUGAUCUCGCGAACUGGGCUUCUGUGUAAACUGAGGCUAAACAAACACAGAUGGAGCGCAGCGGGCGUUCUCCAGAAAUGCUGGCAAGGCGGCAGCGACUUCAGAUGACACUCUGAGCGCUCCGAGAACGGACAGCCCGGCGGCUUCGCGGAGCCGGCAGCGCAGCUGCCCCGGGCGAGGGGGAGAAAGGGAGGGAGGAGGGCGGGCGCGAGAAGGGGGAGAGCCCGAGACUCCCAGGCGCUGAGCGCCGCGGCCGCCCGGGCAGAGCCAGCGCGCAGCGUGCAGAGCGAGCGCGGCGGGCGAGCGGCCCGGGCAGCCCCACGCCCCUGCCUCGCGCGCUGCCCGCGCCAUGAAGCACAUCCCGGUUCUCGAGGACGGGCCGUGGAAGACCGUGUGCGUGAAGGAGCUGAACGGCCUCAAGAAGCUCAAGCGGAAAGGCAAGGAGCCGGCGCGGCGCGCGAACGGCUAUAAAACUUUCCGAUUGGACUUGGAAGCGCCCGAGCACGGCUCCACCGCCACCAACGGGCUGCGCGACAGGACCCAGAGGCUGCAGCCGGUCGCGGCCCCAGUGUCAGCCCCGGUGGGGCCGGCUGUUCCCUCAAGUGGGGGCGCGGACCUGGCCGGGGAGCGCCGGGGCGUCCGGGCGCCGGAGGUCUCCGACGCGCGGAAACGCGGCUUCGCCCUGGGCGCAGUGGGGCCGGGACUCCCCACGCCGCCGCCACCGCCGCCGCCGCCUCCGGCGCCCCAGGGCCAAGUACCCGGAGGUCCCGAGGCGCAGCCUUUCCGGGAGACCGGCCUUCGUCCCCGAAUCUUGCUGUGCGCACCGCCUGCACGCCCCACGCCGUCGGCGCCCCCUGUGCCCCCGGAGUCUUCCGUGCGCCCUGCGCCCCCCACGCGCCCCGGGGAAAGUUCUUACUCGUCAAUUUCACACGUAAUUUACAAUAACCACCCGGAUUCCUCCGCGUCGCCUAGGAAACGGCCGGGCGAAGCGACCACCGCUGCCUCGGAGAUCAAAGCCCUGCAGCAGACCCGGAGGCUCCUAGCUAACGCCAGGGAGCGGACGCGAGUGCACACGAUCAGUGCAGCCUUCGAGGCGCUCAGGAAGCAGGUGCCGUGUUACUCCUACGGGCAGAAGCUGUCCAAACUGGCCAUCCUGCGGAUCGCCUGUAACUACAUCCUGUCGCUGGCGCGGCUGGCUGACCUCGACUACAGUGCCGACCACAGCAACCUCAGCUUCUCCGAGUGUGUGCAGCGCUGCACCCGCACCCUGCAGGCCGAGGGACGGGCCAAGAAGCGCAAGGCCCGGGGCUACAUCAGCAAACAAAACAGGCCAUGUCCCUGUCCUCGUGGAGCUGAUGUUCCAGCCACAAGUGAAUGGACAGAGCAAAAGACGAUUUCUAAUGUGAUAAACUCAACCACUUUGCCACACUGACCAAAUCCCCUCCAUCGAACUCAGCACGUCAGACCCGUGGAAAGGGACCUGAGAGGCCAUCUUGUCUAGUCAUGUUCAAAGUUUAUUUUCACAGCAGACCCUGUUAAAGGGUAUCUUCUAUGGAGUGACUGGCCCCAGGCUAGACCAAGGACGCUGCCGUGGGCCCUCUUUCUGGUCAAGCCUGAGGAGAAGGUGAGCUCUCCAGAUCCAGCCUCGUCUUCUCCAAGAUGCCGCCAGAUGUUCAGACCACUGCCUCUCAGGGUGGGGCAGGGGCACACCUGCCUCCCUCUCACCCUCCUGUCUGCCCUCAGCCACUCUGGUGACUCCGCACUUUGCCCUCUGCCUGGUGGGGAGGGGAGAGAAAGCCUCCCCCUUGCCCAGGGCUGCAGAAAUUCAUUGCCAAAGAUUCCACAGAGACACUAAACAAAUUGUGGUGAUGACACCCCACAGUGAAAAGCCACACCAUUGCUCUAUGACUUUUGCUCCUCCUAUUGCCAAAGCCAUCCCAAGCCAAAGACGAGUCAGCGAUCCCACUGGAAACUCAUGGAAGGGAUGGACAUCUGGUGACUAUUGAAAGUGCUCGACCCUCUGACCUGGAACUCUCUUUCUACACUGGGCCCUGAGCAGGCUGGGUACAAGAGAAGCCUUCUGGGGGCUGUGAGAGGGGGUUGGGGGGUGCUUGUAUGGAGUGGGUUAUGAGAUCCUGGCCCUCUUCUUGCCCUCCCACUGGCUGCCCAGGCUACUGACCCUGAUUCUCAUUGUUCCCUGGGUCCAGGCUCCUUGGGCCCUGAGCAUCAUGGCAAGGGGGGGGGGGGAAGAAGCAAUAUUGACCACCCUGUACCCCGCCCUAGGGACUUGCCCCACCAGGGUCACCUAAAGGGUCUUUGUUCUCCAGCCAGCCCAGCCAGCCACUCCUUGCCUGUGGCCCGCCCUCCUGGCUGGGAAAACAAGAUGGUGCCCUGCAUGAAGGCCAGUAGUCUGUUCCCGGUUAUGCAGGGGGGCAGAGGAGAAAGGGACCAGGGAACGGGCCAGUAAGUUGGGGCGGGGGGGCAUGUUCAAAGCCAAGGCCUGUUCCUUCCUUGUGCUCAAAAGGCCAAAGCUAUUCACAUCUGUGCUCAACCAUCUGCUUCAAAUUGAAGUAAAAGCCCCUACAUGUAAAGAAAACACUUGCUCGUGUUGAAUGGACUCUGUGGGUGACCAGGACUUUGGCUGGUCAGUUGAGGGGCAGUUGUGGGGAAGGGGAGAGGCUGGUCUUGGCCUAGAGGUUGAGAACCCUCCAGGAAGUGGGCAGUGUGUUAGUGUGUGUGUCUGUGUGUGUCAGGGGGUAGGGGGCCCUCACCAUGCCUCAGCCUGGGCUAGUGACCAGGAGGCCUGGUCAGAAACGUGAGGUGCUCUUUCCACUUCAGACCUCACUCACUUCUUUCAGCCCAGGGACGCCCUCUCUUAUCUGCUCCUCAGGCUCCCGGGCUGGGGCCAGAGUGUCUGCAGGCCCAGCUGGCCGACAGGAGCCUCAUCCCCUUGCACGAGUGUUGCCCAGGCACAGCCCUUUGCCAAGGACAAGGUUGUUGGGCUGGCCUGGAUCUGGAACAGAAGCAGGGGACCCAGAUGUCUCAGAGCACUUCUCAGAGCAAAGGUGCCCUGGAAGCCAGAUAGACAGAGUGGGCUUGGGAUGGGGGUGACAAGGGGACGCUGAAGAAAGGUUGGUCACCUGGGGGCAUCUGGGUGGCUCAGUUGGUGAAGCAGCCGGCUCUUGAUUUCGGGGUCAUGAUCCCAGGACCCUGGAUUUGAGUACCAAGUUGGGCUCCAUGCUUAGCGGGAGUCUGCUUGAG